Molecule: ribosomal RNA, 496 nt
Filed under: uncultured bacterium
Lineage: Bacteria
Description: partial 16S ribosomal RNA
Rfam family: Bacterial small subunit ribosomal RNA
Source: RNAcentral
GAUGAACGCUGGCGGCGGGCCUAAUACAUGCAAGUCGAGCGAACAGACGAUGAGCUUGCGCCUCUGACGGUGGCGGCGGACGGGUGGGUAACACGUGGAUAAGCUACCUAUAUUACGGGGGUAACUUCGGGAAACCGGAUCUACUACCGGAUCAUAUAUUGUACCGCAUGGUUCAAUAGUUAAAGACGGUUUUGCUGUCACUUAUAGAUGGAUCCGCGCCGCAUUAGCUAGUUGGUAAGGUAACGGCUUACCAAGGCAACGAUGCGUGGCCGACCUGAGAGGGGAAUCGGCCACACUGGACCUGAGACACGGCCCAGACUCCUACGGGAGGAAGCAGUAGGAAAACUGCAGAAAUGGGCGAAAGCCUGACGAAGCAACGCGGGGUGAGGGAUGAAGGUCUUCGGUUCGUAAAACCCUGUUAUUAGGGAAAAAAAAAUGUGUAAGUAACCAUGCACGUCUGGCGGGUACCAAAUAAGAAAGCCACGCCAAACUCCGG